CGACACUUGAUGGUUUGUUCGCGUGAAAACGAUAAGAAGACGAUCGUGUACCGAAGGAACGCAUUUUCUGGCAGUAUUCAGUGUGUUGAGAAGUAUUCAGAAGGACAUAUUCGCCUUUAUCUAAAAUACACAAAAUUCGUACUAUCAGGAGUGUGCAAACGAAGCUCCGAUGGAAGAUGCAAAAUUAUAACGACGAUAUGUUCAGCGAAUGAUCAAUUCAAGCGAGGUCACGUCACAUUUCACCGACGAUGAAAGUUAUCGAAACUUCCAGCACGUCGUCUCGAUAUCGACGUCUCACGACAUCCCCGAGGAGCAGCAACAACUUCCAUCCAACGAAAACGUCGUCGCUGACUGGAGCGACGAGACAGAGCGGCGGCUCUAGCGAUAGCAAAAGCACGUCUGCAAGUUUCGACACACACGGUGAACCGUCCACCACCGGUUAACCCAUUCGGCUGGCAUAACGAGCUGAACUCAUGCUCCGUGACUCGAACCGCAAUAAUCUACCAGAUCCGACUCGUGGAACGGGUACCGAUAACUUUUUAACGAGAUGGUUUUGGAGUAAUACUUUACAGAUACGGUUACGCAAAAAUUUGUUACAUCUUACCGUAUCUAUUUUGUAUAAUCGACGCCAUGAUGGUUUAGAUACUGUGUAUAUGCACGUUGCAUGACGAUGGCGAUUAUAUUCUCGACGGCAUGUCGACGACAAUCCAAGUACGUUCACUUUGACAGAGGACUAAGAAUAAAAUCUUCAUUUUUAUAAUAAUUACAGAUCAACCUCACAACAAAGAAAAUAUUCGCUGGUAAUUAGUAGAGCACAAUAACGAGAAAUACAAAUUGGUAAGCAGCACACGUGCUAGUAAUUAAAAUUGUGCAAUAAAAACACGAUAACAGUUGAGAAAAUGCAAUUAACCAACCACAUAAAAUUCAUUCGUUUAGUUUGGCCUGAAAAUUCCGAGACAACUUGAACCAAACCUGAAUGAAACAUCAGAGUGUAUAUGUAUAUCUCUAGAAUGAAAACAAUAAAUUAAAAGUGAAUAGAAAUGAAAUAAAAUUAAACCAAAGUAUGCGACAAAAUAAAAAUUAAUCAGAGACACGAUCAUGCUCCCUAAAUUAAAAUUCUGGAGCCAUGGCCAUGUCACCGAUAAAUGAAUGAAUAUGAACCAUUUCGAUCGAUCAACAAUCAUUUAUCAUAAUUAAUGAAUACCGACACACGUUUUAAUAUUACGAGUAACUUAUUCUUCAAUAUAGUUCAAUUUUAUGUAAUUGCAAUAAAUAAAAUGCAUAAGGAACGUUAGGUGGCUCCAACUCCAUUUAAUUUUAAACGAAAAGUUUCAAUUGAAAAUACAUUUUGUUCGGGAUGAUUGCGAGAAGAGAACCGGCCGAAUGGGUUAAACAAGUUCGGCUCGUGUCGAACCCGAGCUUUGUUUACAAUUGUCGAAAACGCCCGAAAGACACACGGAUCUGUA
Hylaeus anthracinus is the source of this 1466-nucleotide RNA transcript. RefSeq lists it as uncharacterized. The record is from RefSeq and is a predicted model, not a curated record. Lineage: Eukaryota; Metazoa; Arthropoda; Insecta; Hymenoptera; Colletidae. The transcript is spliced from 5 exons.